RNAcentral lists this ribosomal RNA (515 nucleotides) under uncultured bacterium. RNAcentral describes it as "bacterial SSU rRNA". It matches the Rfam family "Bacterial small subunit ribosomal RNA", at positions 9 to 523 of the family's 1533-position model. The record is from RNAcentral.
GAGUUUGAUCAUGGCUCAGGACGAACGCUAGCGGCGUGCUUAACACAUGCAAGUCGAACGCUGAAGCCCGCUUCGGUGGGUGGAUGAGUGGCGAACGGGUGAGUAACACGUGGGCAAUCUACCCCGCACUCGGGGAUAAGCCUUGGAAACGAGGUCUAAUACCCGAUAGGACAUGCCAUCGCAUGGUGGUGUGUGGAAAGUGUGUAGCGGUGUGGGAUGAGCCCGCGGCCUAUCAGCUUGUUGGUGGCGGUGAUGGCGCACCAAGGCGACGACGGGUAGCCGGCCUGAGAGGGUGACCGGCCACACUGGGACUGAGACACGGCCCAGACUCCUACGGGAGGCAGCAGUGGGGAAUCUUGCGCAAUGGGCGAAAGCCUGACGCAGCAACGCCGCGUGGGGGAUGACGGCCUUCGGGUUGUAAACCCCUUUCGGUCCCGACGAAGGCUCCUGUUGUCAGGGGUUGACGGUAGGGUCAGAAGAAGCACCGGCUAACUACGUGCCAGCAGCCGCGGUAA